RNAcentral lists this ribosomal RNA (492 nucleotides) under uncultured bacterium. RNAcentral describes it as "partial 16S ribosomal RNA". It matches the Rfam family "Bacterial small subunit ribosomal RNA", at positions 29 to 507 of the family's 1533-position model. The record is from RNAcentral.
AGUGAACGCUGGCGGUAGGCCUAACACAUGCAAGUCGAACGGCAGCACAGUAAGAGCUUGCUCUUACGGGUGGCGAGUGGCGGACGGGUGAGAAAUACAUCGGAAUCUACUUUUUCGUGGGGGAUAACGUAGGGAAACUUACGCUAAUACCGCAUACGACCUACGGGUGAAAGCAGUGGAUCUUCGGACCUUGCCCGAUUCAAUGAGCCGAUGUCGGAUUAGCUAGUUGGCGGGGUAAAGGCCCACCAAGGCGACGAUCCGUAGCUGGUCUGAGAGGAUGAUCAGCCACACUGGAACUGAGACACGGUCCAGACUCCUACGGGAGGCAGCAGUGGGGAAUAUUGGACAAUGGGCGCAAGCCUGAUCCAGCCAUACCGCGUGGGUGAAGAAGGCCUUCGGGUUGUAAAGCCCUUUUGUUGGGAAAGAAAAGCAGCAGGUUAAUACCCCGCUGUUCUGACGGUACCCAAAGAAUAAGCACCGGCUAACUUCGUG